AGUGAACGCUGGCGGUAGGCCUAACACAUGCAAGUCGAACGGCAGCACAGUAAGAGCUUGCUCUUACGGGUGGCGAGUGGCGGACGGGUGAGGAAUACAUCGGAAUCUACUUUUUCGUGGGGGAUAACGUAGGGAAACUUACGCUAAUACCGCAUACGACCUACGGGUGAAAGCAGGGGAUCUUCGGACCUUGCGCGAUUGAAUGAGCCGAUGUCGGAUUAGCUAGUUGGCGGGGUAAAGGCCCACCAAGGCGACGAUCCGUAGCUGGUCUGAGAGGAUGAUCAGCCACACUGGAACUGAGACAGGGUCCAGAGUCCUACGGGAGGCAGCAGUGGGGAAUAUUGGACAAUGGGCGCAAGCCUGAUCCAACCAUACCGCGUGGGUGAAGAAGGCCUUCGGGUUGUAAAGCCCUUUUGUUGGGAAAGAAAAGCAGCAGGUUAAUACCCCGCUGUUCUGACGGUACCCAAAGAAUAAGCACCGGCUAACUUCGUG
This 492-nucleotide ribosomal RNA is filed under the name uncultured bacterium. RNAcentral describes it as "partial 16S ribosomal RNA". It matches the Rfam family "Bacterial small subunit ribosomal RNA", at positions 29 to 507 of the family's 1533-position model. The record is from RNAcentral.